Molecule: long non-coding RNA, 2266 nt
Organism: Macaca mulatta (Rhesus monkey)
Lineage: Eukaryota; Metazoa; Chordata; Mammalia; Primates; Cercopithecidae
Source: Ensembl
ACCGGCCUCAGCCCCGCGCCCGCCGUCAGCGUCGAGACGCAGACGGAGUUUCACUCUUGUUGCCCAGGCUGGAGUGUAAUGGCCUGAUUUCAGCUCACUGCAACCUCUACCUCCUGGGUUCAAGCAAUUCUUCUGCCUCAGCCUCCCAAGUAGCUGGGAUUGCAGGCCCUCCUGGUGGGAUCCCACCGCAUCCCCUGCCUCCACUGUCAUCUGCUCCACGUGGUAUCUCCAGGGGGACCUCUCUGCUGGGCUCCAGGCCGCAUAGCUGUGGGCGGCCAGCACGAUGUCCCACCAGGACCCCUGCAGUCCCAGUGCCCCCGCCUGCUCAUCUGGGGACCUGUCCUCACUGCCUGCUGCCUGAACUGUGUGGAAGGACAGAGGCUAAACGAGGAAGCCGGGAACUCUGGUCUCAUGGACAUGGCAGCCUGCCCACCACCCACGCCUGCCCAGCCUUUCUUCACGCAGCGCUUAAAACGUGGAGAGCGGAAUCUUCUGGGCCCAGGUAACACACCUUUGCUCCGACAUUCCCUUCACUACUCACUGGCAAGCUCAGUUGGAAAUUCGCUCCCAGUAGGAGGUUCCGCAGCAGACACAUGGCUUCAGCAGUUCCAGUCUAAAUUUCGAGGCAUAAGCUGCCGCUGGGGGGGUGAGCCAUCUCCAGCACAGAGCGUCAGUCUCACCAGAAGAGGAUGAGGCAAGAGAGCUCAGCUGCUGGAGGUUCUCCUCCUCACCGGGCAACUUAGGGUUAGAACAUCUACAGCCUCUGUCCACUGUAACUUUGUCCAAUAAUUUCACUCUUCCUUUCCAGGGACCCUUUUUGAGUCUGUUGGUCUUUUAUGCAGUGUCUCUGCUUUCUUUAAUAAGUUGAUUACACUGAAUAUCCAUUAAAGACCACUUUUUUUUUGCAGCAUAACUGAAUUUUGAAGAUAUCUCUGGAAUUCUUUGGGAAGAAAUGGAUAACUACAUAAAACUAUAUCUGAGUAUAUUGAACAAUCUCAAGAAAAGUAUUAUUGGGCACCGAAAAUUAUUUGAAUUCUCUUUCUUUUCUGUUUUGUUGAAUUUCAUUAGACGCUCAAAUUCUAAAAGUGAGGCAUCUAUCUUGCACUUUGGCCGAGUGCCUGGAUCUGUUUGAAAUUGGAUCUUAUAAAUAUUCCAUCAAGUCCUAUGUAAUGGGUUUGCUUUUUCCUGCCAGUUAGCCUGUGUGGAUGGCAUCUGAAACGUUUGUGACAUUUUUGCAAAACUUGACAAAAACAUUUCAAGCAUUAAUAGUUUAGUUAAUAAAUUACUCAGCACCCAAACACUACAUUAGUUAAGAAAAUUCUUGACACCAAUCCUGCCAUUUUACGUUUGACAUUUGGUAGGUGACUGCUAGCCUGCAAUAUAUCAGUUUAAAGCUGCACCUCAAAUGGCAGCGCUUAGAAAAUGCCCAGUGCAAGGUGACUUGGCACUUUCCUAACGAGGAGGGACAACUAGUGAAAUCAGGUGGUUGGCUCCGUUUAAGAACUCAUUUCAUUUAGAGAGUCUGACUGGGCAGUCAUCUUUUUUUUUUUUUUUUUGAGAAAGAGUCUCACUCUGUCUCCCAGGCUGGAGUGCAGUGGCAUGAUCUCAUCUCACUGCAACCUCUGCCUCCUGGGUUCAAGCGAUUCUCCUGUCUCAGCCUGCCAAGUAGCUGGGACCACAGGCGUGCGCCACCAUGCCCAGCUAAUUUUUGUAUUUUUAGUAGAGACAGGGUUUCACCAUAUUGGCCAGGCUGGUCUUGAACUUCUGACCUUGAGAGAUCCGUCCACCUCGGCCUCCCAAAGUGCUGGGAUUACAGGUGUGAGCUACCGCGCCCAGCCUGGACUGGGUGUUCUACACUAGAAAGCUCCCUCUGCAUGCCCACGCAGGACUCAGCACCACAGGACCAAGCCAUGUGCAUUAGUACAGUGUUUAUGAAUACAUAUAUUCAUAGAUAAUUUAAACUAUUUUAAAAGUAGUGAUAAAAAUAACCUCCUCAAAUUGCAGUGUGUGCUACAUUUUAACACACUGGAAAAUAACAAGACAGUAAGACAUUACUUUGUGCUUCUAGAUUAAUUUCUUUGGGGAAGACUUUGAACUAAAGAUAAUCCUGCCAUUUUGUGGUCAGUAUUUGAAGUUCUUAUAAUCCAUUAUUAAUUUAAAAGUUCUAUCUCUAUAAUGAUCUUUCUUGGAAUUUAGGCUUGUGAUUCCCACUAAUGUCAAAGUCUGUAAAAGACAGUAUUUCCAAAGCAUUACAUAUAUGUGUGUG